Molecule: ribosomal RNA, 253 nt
Filed under: Blautia luti
Lineage: Bacteria; Bacillati; Bacillota; Clostridia; Lachnospirales; Lachnospiraceae
Description: partial 16S ribosomal RNA
Rfam family: Bacterial small subunit ribosomal RNA
Source: RNAcentral
UACGUAGGGGGCAAGCGUUAUCCGGAUUUACUGGGUGUAAAGGGAGCGUAGACGGAUGGACAAGUCUGAUGUGAAAGGCUGGGGCUCAACCCCGGGACUGCAUUGGAAACUGCCCGUCUUGAGUACCGGAGAGGUAAGCGGAAUUCCUAGUGUAGCGGUGAAAUGCGUAGAUAUUAGGAGGAACACCAGUGGCGAAGGCGGCUUACUGGACGGUAACUGACGUUGAGGCUCGAAAGCGUGGGGAGCAAACAGG